UAUAAUCAUAGUUUGGAGCCGGAAAACCUACAAACGUUUUUCAAAGCAGAUCGGCAGUUUUAAAACUCACUUUUCUGAAAAAAAAAAAAAAAAAAAAAUAUUUUUAAGUCAUGGCCAUUAAAAAUGGCAAAACUUUAUUUGGCAUAUUUGGACGUACGACACACUGUUUACAGAUCUCAUGUGAUAACCCCAUAAAUGUUGCUAAAUCAAAAAACUGAAAAAAA
Long non-coding RNA from Fundulus heteroclitus (mummichog), 224 nucleotides. RefSeq lists it as uncharacterized. NCBI's taxonomy places the organism in Eukaryota, Metazoa, Chordata, Actinopteri, Cyprinodontiformes, Fundulidae. The record is from RefSeq and is a predicted model, not a curated record. The transcript is spliced from 2 exons.